RNAcentral lists this ribosomal RNA (488 nucleotides) under uncultured bacterium. Its description in RNAcentral is "bacterial SSU rRNA". It matches the Rfam family "Bacterial small subunit ribosomal RNA", at positions 28 to 507 of the family's 1533-position model. The record is from RNAcentral.
GAUGAACGCUAGCGGCAGGCUUAAUACAUGCAAGUCGAGGGGCAGCAUGACUGUAGCAAUACAGUUGAUGGCGACCGGCAAACGGGUGCGGAACACGUACGCAACCUACCCAAAACUGAGGAAUAGCCCGGGGAAACCCGGAUUAAUACCUCGUAACAUAAUUGAGUGGCAUCAUUUAAUUAUUAUAGCUCCGGCGGUUUUGGAUGGGCGUGCGCCUGAUUAGAUAGUUGGCGGGGUAACGGCCCACCAAGUCUGCGAUCAGUAACUGGUGUGAGAGCACGACCAGUCACACGGGCACUGAGACACGGGCCCGACUCCUACGGGAGGCAGCAGUAAGGAAUAUUGGUCAAUGGACGCAAGUCUGAACCAGCCAUGCCGCGUGAAGGAUGAAGGUCCCUCUGGAUUGUAAACUUCUUUUAUAUGGGACGAAACCUCUUUUUCUAAAGAGACUGACGGUACCAUAAGAAUAAGCACCGGCUAACUCCGUG